AGAGUUUGAUCAUGGCUCAGGAUUAACGCUGGCGGUAUGCCUAAUACAUGCAAGUCGAACGAAAAUCUUCGGAUUUUAGUGGCGAACGGGUGAGUAACGUAUGUUUAAUCUACCUUGUAGUUUGGAAUAACCAUUGGAAACGAUGGCUAAUACUGAAUACUAUUUAUAAUGGAAUCUUUAUAAAUUAAAAGGGGCGUUUGCCCCGCUAUAAGAUGAGAACAUAUUACAUUAGCUAGUUGGUAGGGUAAAGGCCUACCAAGGCAAUGAUGUAUAGCCGAGCCGAGAGGUUGAUCGGCCACAAUGGGACUGAGACACGGCCCAUACUCCUACGGGAGGCAGCAGUAGGGAAUUUUUCACAAUGGACGAAAGUCUGAUGAAGCAAUACCGCGUGAGGGAAGACGGUUUUAGGACUGUAAACCUCUGUUAUAAGGGAAGAAUAUGUCGGAGAGGAAAUGCUCCGUGCAGUGACGGUACUUUAUUAGAAAGUCACGGCUAACUAUGUGCCAGCAGCCGCGGUAAUACAUAGGUGGCAAGCGUUAUCCGGAUUUAUUGGGCGUAAAGAGUGCACAGGUGGUUAUAUAAGUUUGAUGUUAAAGACCGAAGCUCAACUUCGGUUCGCAUUGAAAACUGUAUAACUAGAAUGCAGGUGGGAAUAGUGGAAUUUGAUGUGUAGCGGUGGAAUGCAUAAAUAUAUCGAGGAACACCAGUGGCGAAGGCGGCUAUUUGAACUGUAAUUGACACUUAAGCACGAAAGCGUGGGGAGCAAAUAGGAUUAGAUACCCUAGUAGUCCACGCCGUAAACGAUCUAGAUUAGAUGUCGGAAUUAUUCGGUAUCGCAGCUAACGCAUUAAAUCUAGCGCCUGGGUAGUACGC
RNAcentral lists this ribosomal RNA (873 nucleotides) under uncultured Mollicutes bacterium. RNAcentral's name for it is "bacterial SSU rRNA". It matches the Rfam family "Bacterial small subunit ribosomal RNA", at positions 8 to 885 of the family's 1533-position model. Lineage: Bacteria; Bacillati; Mycoplasmatota; Mollicutes. The record is from RNAcentral.